CAGCUGCAGGGUUAUAUUUGCCCACAGGAUUGCAUCUUACUGAGCUGGCUGUACUAUGGUUUGAUGAGGAAAAAUCUUUGGUAUGUUUCUCAAUCAAGGCCUUUAGAGCUCUGUAUCAUAGUGCAAUUGAAGCUGACGAUGGUUGUGUCUUAGAAUAGAGAAGCUUGUGACUAACUAGAAGGCAAAUUAUCAAAAAAGAAAGGAAGGAAAAGAAAGGCAGGAACUCAGGAAGGAAGGAAACAUUGAAUCUCUUCUACUACUAAACUACUAUUGAGUUUUUCUCAGCUGAUUUACUGCAAAACAGAAAGGGCCAAGCAAAUGAUCUUCAUUAAAGACUUCUUCCAUGCAACUGCUCUGCAAAGUGACAGAUGGCACUGGCUUUAUUGUUUACAAAAAGGAAGGAAUGGUUUGACAUCUAUGAGAGCAACACAGUAAAACACAACUGUAUGCACUGGGCAACUGAGGGUGCAGCAGAGGCAGUUAACAGCCAUAGCACUUUGCACAUCUAUUUUUGAGCUUCUUUUCUUGCCUGGGUUGUUUGGAGGACUUCCAGGAAUUUGUCUAAGAAUUUUGAGGUGCCUCCUGCUGCUGGAAAAGUGUGAGUACUAUAGGCUUUCCCACCUAGCAAACUCAGUUUAUAAAAGUAUCUGCUAGUCUUUCCUGGACAAGGUGCUUAGAGCUUUUGUUUGCAACUGACUCCUGGUUAUGGAGUGUUACACACCCAUGGGCUAGAGCUGUCAAAUGACCUACCACACCUACAGUGCACCAAGUAGUAGCUAAUGAACACAUUGUUUUGUGCAGAAAAGUUACGGAAGGGUUCUGGAAAGCUGCUUAAAGCAGCAUGAAUCUGGUUGACAAAUUUGGGCAUGUGCCACAAGACACAUAGCCUGUCAUCAGCUUGAGCAGCUGCAGCAGAGGCCUUGGCUCAGAGCUCUGAAUUGCAGAUGUGGCUAUCCAGGUCUGGGGCUUCAGGCAGCAGCUGGUGCCUCUCCCUGGGCCAGAGCAGGAGAAGAUUGCCUGCAGGCGAUGUGCUGUGGCUCAGAACCUGCCUUGCCAACAGGUGAAGGCAAGCAGAAAGAGUGGUGUCAGAGAAUGUGAAAAAGAUUAACAGGAUCUUCACAAUGAUCCUGCAGAGACAAAGCUCCAAAUCAUCCACUGCACAAGAGAAGCAGAAGCUGGCAUCUUCUCUUUGCCUUUUAU
Molecule: long non-coding RNA, 1200 nt
Filed under: Cyanistes caeruleus (blue tit)
Lineage: Eukaryota; Metazoa; Chordata; Aves; Passeriformes; Paridae
Description: lncRNA (ENSCCEG00000015097.1)
Source: RNAcentral